RNAcentral lists this ribosomal RNA (274 nucleotides) under uncultured bacterium. Its description in RNAcentral is "partial 16S ribosomal RNA". It matches the Rfam family "Bacterial small subunit ribosomal RNA", at positions 523 to 796 of the family's 1533-position model. The record is from RNAcentral.
AUACAGAGGGUGCAAGCGUUAAUCGGAACUACUGGGCGUAAAGCGCGCGUAGGUGGUUUGUUAAGUUGGAUGUGAAAGCCCCGGGCUCAACCUGGGAACUGCAUCCAAAACUGGCAAGCUAGAGUACGGUAGAGGGUGGUGGAAUUUCCUGUGUAGCGGUGAAAUGCGUAGAUAUAGGAAGGAACACCAGUGGCGAAGGCGACCACCUGGACUGAUACUGACACUGAGGUGCGAAAGCGUGGGGAGCAAACAGGAUUAGAUACCCUAGUAGUCC